RNAcentral lists this transfer RNA (77 nucleotides) under Kordia sp. SMS9. RNAcentral describes it as "tRNA-Val". The record is from RNAcentral. Lineage: Bacteria; Pseudomonadati; Bacteroidota; Flavobacteriia; Flavobacteriales; Flavobacteriaceae.
AGUGAUAGUAGCUCAAUUGGAAGAGCAUCUGCUCAACCAGCAGAGGGUUUUGAGUUCAAAUAUCAAGUAUUGCUGCC